This is an RNA transcript of Ooceraea biroi (clonal raider ant), 797 nucleotides long. RefSeq lists it as uncharacterized. NCBI's taxonomy places the organism in Eukaryota, Metazoa, Arthropoda, Insecta, Hymenoptera, Formicidae. The record is from RefSeq and is a predicted model, not a curated record.
AUAUAAUUUUUAUUUAACGUCAAGUGGUAUGUCUCCAUGGCAGAUGACGCUAGUUUUGUUUUCAAGUAAUAUAACACAACGAUAAGUCGAAGAAACAUUUUACUUAUGACUAGAGUCCUAAAUAAUCAGAGAAGCGCAAUCGUUACCCCCUCCAUGCUUCCCAUGGUCGCCAUGUUGGGCCCGCAGCUGUCCAUAUGUACACACGCAGCUUGUCUAUUUCGUCCAAGUAGGUUAUGCAGAAACGUUGUAAUUUUAAUUCUGAACUUGUAGCAACGUUAAAGAGAAGUUAAAGUUUCGGAAUAUCACAUUAAAUUGAAAAAUGGAGAUCAAUUUGUUAUUCAUUGUCUAGGAGCUGGCUCUUUUUAAUAAAGGGGAACAACGAUAUAAUAAGGCUCAUAACAUAUCUAUUCACGAAUCAAAUUCUACAAAGAUUUAUUCUAUUGAAGAAAGACAUUCAAUCUCUUCUAUACUGGUUCGCAAAGUAAAAUGUUGUACAAUUGAUGAACUGAUAUUACAGUGUAACAAAGCAUCACAAGUUAUUCAAGACUUAACAGUUGAGCGUAAUUUAGGCUUGCAGCAGUUGCGUAAGAUGUUCAGUAAGAUUGUUCAAAUGGAGAAGGCAUUGCGAAGAUUACAGCCUACUGUCACUAAAAGGAAUUCCAAUAAGUAACAAAGAAAAUGUUGACAAAUCUAAUUAUUGUGUCACUGUUUAGAUAUAUUUAGGAUAACUUUUAUGAUAAUAUAUUUUAUAUCAUAGUUGUAAUAUUUUCUUUAAAAUAAAUGACAAUCGUACAUAA